UUAGUGGCGGACGGGUGAGUAACGCGUGAGGAACCUGCCUUACAGAGGGGGAUAACGUUUGGAAACGAACGCUAAUACCGCAUGAUAUCUUUUUGCCGCAUGGGAGAAAGAUCAAAGGAGCAAUCCGCUGUAAGAUGGACUCGCGUCCGAUUAGCUAGAUGGCGGGAUAACAGCCCACCAUGGCGACGAUCGGUAGCCGGACUGAGAGGUUGAACGGCCACAUUGGGACUGAGAC
RNAcentral lists this ribosomal RNA (235 nucleotides) under uncultured bacterium. Its description in RNAcentral is "partial 16S ribosomal RNA". It matches the Rfam family "Bacterial small subunit ribosomal RNA", at positions 92 to 325 of the family's 1533-position model. The record is from RNAcentral.